RNAcentral lists this ribosomal RNA (96 nucleotides) under uncultured bacterium. RNAcentral's name for it is "partial 16S ribosomal RNA". It matches the Rfam family "Bacterial small subunit ribosomal RNA", at positions 1388 to 1482 of the family's 1533-position model. The record is from RNAcentral.
CACCGCCCGUCACAUCACGAAAGUGGGUUGUACUAGAAGUCGCCAUGCUAACCGCAAGGAAGCCAGCGCCCAAGGUAUGAUUCACGAGUUGGGGUG